AGAGUUUGAUCCUGGCUCAGAUUGAACGCUGGCGGCAGGCCUAACACAUGCAAGUCGAGCGGUAGAGAGAAGCUUGCUUCUCUUGAGAGCGGCGGACGGGUGAGUAAUGCCUAGGAAUCUGCCUGGUAGUGGGGGAUAACGUUCGGAAACGGACGCUAAUACCGCAUACGUCCUACGGGAGAAAGCAGGGGACCUUCGGGCCUUGCGCUAUCAGAUGAGCCUAGGUCGGAUUAGCUAGUUGGUGAGGUAAUGGCUCACCAAGGCGACGAUCCGUAACUGGUCUGAGAGGAUGAUCAGUCACACUGGAACUGAGACACGGUCCAGACUCCUACGGGAGGCAGCAGUGGGGAAUAUUGGACAAUGGGCGAAAGCCUGAUCCAGCCAUGCCGCGUGUGUGAAGAAGGUCUUCGGAUUGUAAAGCACUUUAAGUUGGGGAGGAAGGGCAGUUACCUAAUACGUGAUUGUUUUGACGUUACCGACAGAAUAAGCACCGGCUAACUCUGUGCCAGCAGCCGCGGUAAUACAGAGGGUGCAAGCGUUAAUCGGAAUUACUGGGCGUAAAGCGCGCGUAGGUGGUUUUGUUAAGUUGGAUGUGAAAUCCCCCGGGCUCAACCUGGGAACUGCA
Molecule: ribosomal RNA, 625 nt
Filed under: uncultured bacterium
Lineage: Bacteria
Description: bacterial SSU rRNA
Rfam family: Bacterial small subunit ribosomal RNA
Source: RNAcentral